UUAAUUCAAAUUAUUCCCCUUGAAUGACACAGUUUCGUUUGAGCAGUUCACAGGUAGCGCAACCUGUCUCGUAGUGUUCAUUUUCAAUGGCUAUUAAACGCUGUCAAAAUGACAUCGUGUACUGUUGAAUGUCUUCAAUCGAAGUAGGUUCGGAAAUGAUAUUCCACAUGCUUAAAAUAUGUUGGGAAGUUAUUUUUCAAGACCCAGAGGAAGUGUGAGGUGUAUUGAAUCAGCUAUGAAGGAUCUGGUAUUUGAAUAAAUUUAAUAUCAUUGCUAUCCACAAACUGAAUCAGUCUAAAUGUAAUCAACUUCCAAUUGAUUAUUUACUUUUUAUUGUUGUGUGUGUGCGUGUUUGUGUGCGUGUGUGGUCUGGAGGAUAUCAUUCUCGUCUAAUAUCAAUCUUUUAUGAUAUGACAAGAACCAUGCAUUAUCUAAAUGUUUCAAACCACCUACUAAUUAAUUGGAAAAAAAAAGAACUAUUUGGGUAUCUCUUGUAAGUUAUUAUGGUUUAUUUAUUAGUCUUCUGUUUCACAGGAAAGCAGGUGUUUUACCUCACAGACGAAGGCCAGUCACAUGGUAAAGGUGCAAAUGCUGUGGUCAGCCAGGUUCACCACUACCUCAACACAUAAUAUAUUGAAAUGAGUCAAACCAUUUUUAAGUCAGUCAAUUACUACAAAAUACAUAUUCUAAAUUGUAGCCUAACCUUUAAAAAAAAAUUAUUUUUUAACAUUUUAGGUUUACACAGAAUCAUCACACUAAGCUUUAUGUUGAUAAGACAUACAAAGUUUACACCAGAUUGGCACUUUGGCAUCUGGAAGUCAAAGUGGAGAAACUUCAAUGCAGAAAUGUUGUCUGAUGUCGCUGGUUAUCGUCAAGGACAGGCCACAACAUCCCCCAGCUUGUGGGGGACUCUUCCAAUCCUGUUGUUAUCUAAUACAGGAAGGAUUACCUUUUGACAUUGUUUCGCCACAUAAAGAAUGGCACCAAAUUUCAUCAAUUUUCAUGUGUCAGCGGAUCAUCCCAGUGUUGUGGAGUGCAGGGAGUUGAGUGACUCACCAGUAGUCAGAAUCAGUUUCAGGAAGGUCUCGAAAGUGAAUGUAAAUGUGAGCUGUGACAACCUGCCAUAAGAAAUGUUUGCGAAAGGGCUUGAUCUGGACCAUCAGCGGUAUUUAUUUGAAAACAUUCGUGAAUUCUGUCGCACAGAUGAACCAAAAACUUGACAUGUCCGAAACGCGCUACUGGUGAGCAACAAAAAACAGACUGUGCCCCCAAAAAAGAAGAUGCAUUAAGAUGCGCAGCUGAUCUUAUCUGAUCAUGCCACAACAAUCACAUACAUCAUGUAUCAGGUGAUAUAUUUUCCCCCAAACAAUGCAAAAAAAAUGUAACGAGUGCUAAAUGUGUCAGUUGAUACAGGUUUUGAAAUGUUCAAUACAAACGUUUGUUGUUCUAAUUUCACAAGCUUGUUUUCAAGUUUUUUAUAUCUCAUGUUUACAAAACAAAAAUCAUUUUUUUAUGUAACCAUGCAAUUGUUUUCACCAUAUGGACACAGACUGCCUUUCCGAAAAACUGGAAAAAAAUCAGUGUGAAUAUUGUGUUUAUUUAUGUUUUACAAUGAAAAUCCUAUAUUUUUGUUUGUUUGCUACAUUGUUUGCAUAGUAACAAAAACAAACAAUUUUUAUGUUUAAGUUAUUGUUUAUCUUGUCUAUUUUUCUCUAUCAGAAAUAAGAUAAAUAAUGAUUAUUUCAUUUACUGAAACAUUUAGUAUCCAAGUGUACUUUCAACCAACACUUUUCAAUGCUGUUUUUUUCCAUUCUGUUGUGUUUGAGGUUACAUUAUACUAAAAUACACAUGUAACUGAAUAAAAAAGGAAAUUGUUCAUGGAACACACAAAUUAUUGAUUGUUAUUGUUUAACUAGUUACAAAAUUGUGAAACUAAUUUGUGUUUGCCUUUAAACAAACACUUGAUUGAAAAUACAAUUCAUAGAUUUAUAAAAGGCGUGAUUGUGUGCUCUGGUGAUUAUUAACAUGUAGAUCGAUUACCAUAGCAACACAAAUGGUACAUUCCAUAAUGCUGUUGUCAGUUUUUUGCUUUAUAAUUAUGUAUUUGACUAAAGGAAAGAUUAUUGUUUUAAUAAAACAAUGUGCUUGUUGUUUGAAUGUUUUCGUUGUUCUUUUGUAUUAAAUGAUAACUUUUAGUGACGGUAAAAUGUAGGGUUGGUCACUUUGGAAGGUCAUAAAAUUAGUUUUGAAUGUGAUAAAUAAAAAAUCUAUAUCAUUUUUGUGAACUACAAUGUUUAGAGAAUCCAAAAUUGCCAAAAAGUCAAAAUGUGAUUCUUUGAACACAAGACUGAUUUUCCCAGCUUUGGUAACAUAUUUUAAUGAUCUUUUUGGAUGAGUUCGAAACUAGUUUCGGUCUGUUCAAACACGUGCCAGCCAGGGGGCGGGGAAAGUUAUCCUAAUAUGGCUUUAGUAAAACCUUGUUACCAUUCUAAAUGUUACAGUUAUAGUUCGCUUUUCAUGAAACUUGGUCAGAAAAUUUGUCCUAAUGAUAUCUUGGGCUGCACAGAACAAGUCAGUUCCUUUGUAUCUCAGGUGAGCGACUUUGGGUCUUUCAGGCCCCUUGUCUAUGUUACAAACUAUUGUUCAACGUGUUGCUGUCAAUUUGUUAACGUUUUUUCUUAUUAACUGUAAACUGAACAGAUACAGUUUGUCAACCAGUUCCGGAUAAUCAGCAGUUCCGAUUAAUUUGUCUUAAAUUUUCCACAAUGCCACAAUAAAAACAAAAAGAUAUAUACAUUAGGUAAAGCAAUAAAUUAACAAAGUUUUAGCAAGAAAGCUUUUGUAUUAUGCUAACAAGUGGGGUUUAAUGCGGCAAAAAGUUAAACGGAACUGAUUGAAUGAGUUAUGUUUUGAAAUGUGCAUAUGUAUAUAAAAGGCUUUAUUAUUUUCCAAUAAACUUUUUCCUGAUUCAAAAACAAAUGUCAUGACAAUGUUUUCAAAUAUUUAUUCUGUAAGUUGAAUGGUUUUUAAUAAAUUUUCCGAAGGGUGAACUUUAAUUGGCUAUUUUUACAUAAAAACUGCGUAUGCCGUCUGGCCUAACCUGUUAUCAUAGAAAAUAAAUUUAACCCUUUAUUAUACAUCUUCUCCCAUUGACAAUAAAUCCCAAAAGAAAUUAUUGUGGUCAAAAGAAUUAACGUUUCUUGCCGGGUUAUUCUAAACUGGUUGAUUGACUGUAAAUGUAAAACAAUGUGCUUCUGUAAACUUUGACAUUGCUUUUUGGCUCUAGUAACAUGCUCUACCGUU
Long non-coding RNA from Dreissena polymorpha, 3303 nucleotides. RefSeq lists it as uncharacterized. The record is from RefSeq and is a predicted model, not a curated record. The transcript is spliced from 3 exons. NCBI's taxonomy places the organism in Eukaryota, Metazoa, Mollusca, Bivalvia, Myida, Dreissenidae.